GCAACUUCUACCCAUUGGUUGGUCGAAUAAAUCUCUUUUCGACACGACUAAGAUUCAAAGUUGCUAGAACAACUGAAGCGACUUACCAUGUCGAUGGUCCUCUCAUAUCAUCCGCAGAAGUAGAAGCCUCACA
Molecule: small nucleolar RNA, 133 nt
Filed under: Drosophila ananassae
Lineage: Eukaryota; Metazoa; Arthropoda; Insecta; Diptera; Drosophilidae
Description: snoRNA:GF26070
Source: RNAcentral